Molecule: ribosomal RNA, 407 nt
Filed under: uncultured bacterium
Lineage: Bacteria
Description: partial 16S ribosomal RNA
Rfam family: Bacterial small subunit ribosomal RNA
Source: RNAcentral
GACGAACGCUGGCGGCGUGCCUAAUACAUGCAAGUAGGACGCAGUUGCGAACGGGUGAGUAACGAGUAGGUAACUACCUAUUAGAGGGGGAUAACUAUUGGAAACGAUAGCUAAUACCGCAUACUAGUAGAUGGACCUGCGUUGUAUUAGUUAGUAGGUAGGGUACUGGCCUAACUGGGGAACGAUACAUAGCCGACAGGAGGGGGGGGUCGGCCCGCCUUAGAGUGGGACACGGCACAGACUGCUUCGGGAGGCAGAAGUAGGUAAUCUUCGGCAAUGGGGGGAGACCUGACCGAGCAACGCCGCAUGAGUGAAGAGGGAUUUCGGAUCGUAAAGCACUGUUGUUGAGGAAGCGGUACUUAUACAGAAAGGGACGGCUAACUACGUGCCAGCAGCCGCGGUAAUUC